UUAAAUAAUGAACUAAAUAUUUACAGUAUGGAAGUCAGUGGUAUCAGUAUGUGAUGCAUGAGUGGAAAAUGUGUGUGUGUGUGAGAGUGUUGCAAGGUGCAUGGAAGCAAAGUAAAUAACUAAGGCAGCAUAACUAAACCAAACCAGAACAGGUGCUCAAAGGGAGAAGCAGAAAGCUGCAAGCAGCAGCAAGUAGUAAGAGGAGAGAGAGAGACUGCUGCAGCUGCAGCCCGGACUUUAAUAACCUGGCAACCCUGUGGGCCCUCAGGUGUCGCCGGUUGCCCUAACGAGCACCUGCAGAGACAAAGCAGACAGGGUGCCUGAAUGUGAUUAAGGGGAAUUAAACUCAAGCCUGCUGAUGCAAAUCAUGGCCGGAGGAAGCCAUUGAGAAUGCAGGUCAGGGACGUGGAGAAAACCAAGCCAAGCUGCCAUCAGUCUAGAUACUGGAGAUGGCUGGACAGCCGCCAAGUGGAGAAUUAUGUUAAUGUUUGUUCUAAUAAUAAAAUGCAGUUGAAUACAUUAAUAUGUCAAUAGAUGGACAUGUUUUUUCGCCAUGUCUUGUUUGGAAGGGCAAAGCAGAUAGGCCAUUCAAGCUUUCAAGCUAUUAUAUGUGUUUUUUGUACACCUGUUUUUGAGUUAACAUAUUAAAUAUAUGUAUAUAUUUUG
Long non-coding RNA from Thunnus maccoyii (southern bluefin tuna), 666 nucleotides. RefSeq lists it as uncharacterized. NCBI's taxonomy places the organism in Eukaryota, Metazoa, Chordata, Actinopteri, Scombriformes, Scombridae. The record is from RefSeq and is a predicted model, not a curated record. The transcript has 3 exons.